This 270-nucleotide long non-coding RNA is filed under the name Manihot esculenta (cassava). RNAcentral describes it as "long non-coding RNA (MESC_LNC010358)". Lineage: Eukaryota; Viridiplantae; Streptophyta; Magnoliopsida; Malpighiales; Euphorbiaceae. The record is from RNAcentral.
GCCAAUCCACCACUAGAACGACAUCACACAGUCAAAUCUAGAACCACUAGGUCAGCUGGAAGGCAUCUACUCACAACAAACUCUAAACUGAACCGGUAGACUGACUCUGCCACAGAUGGAUCACACUCGGGUCUACCAACCCAAAGAGAACACUCUAAGCCCAGAAGUCAUCAAACCCACCCUCACUACGGCUCACUAAACGACAAGGAAAGAGAAACACUAGGGUUCACAAAAACAUACACAUCUGAAAACUCAAAAGUGAGCAUACCU